RNAcentral lists this ribosomal RNA (492 nucleotides) under uncultured bacterium. Its description in RNAcentral is "partial 16S ribosomal RNA". It matches the Rfam family "Bacterial small subunit ribosomal RNA", at positions 29 to 507 of the family's 1533-position model. The record is from RNAcentral.
AGUGAACGCUGGCGGUAGGCCUAACACAUGCAAGUCGAACGGCAGCACAGUAAGAGCUUGCUCUUACGGUUGGCGAGUGGCGGACGGGUGCGGAAUACAACGGAACCUACUUUUUCGUGGGGGAUAACGUAGGGAAACUUACGCUCAUACUGCAUACUUCCUACGGGUGAAAGAAGGGGAUCUUCGGACCUUGCGCGCUUGAAUGAGCCGAUGUCGGAUUAGCUAGUUGGUCGGGUAAAGGCCCACCAAGGCGACGAUCCCUAGCUGGCCUGAGAGGGUGGUCGGCCACACUGGAACUGAGAAACGGGCCAGACCCCUACGGGAGGCAGCAGUAGGGAAUCUUCGGAAAUGGGCGCAAGCCUGACGGAGCAACGCCGCGUGAGUGAAGAAGGGCUUUGGAGCGUAAAACCCUUUUUUUAGGGAAAAAAAAAUGUGGAAGUAACUCUGCACAUUUUGACGGUACCCAAAAAGAAAGCCACGGCUAACUACGUG